This 4567-nucleotide long non-coding RNA is filed under the name Sus scrofa (pig). Its description in RNAcentral is "lncRNA (ENSSSCG00000058433.1)". The record is from RNAcentral. Lineage: Eukaryota; Metazoa; Chordata; Mammalia; Artiodactyla; Suidae.
CCACAAUGGAAAACAGUAUGGGUUUUCCUCAAAAAAUUAAAAAUAGAAGUGCCCUAUGAUCCAUGAAUUUCACUUCUGGGUAUUUACCCAAAGAAAAUAAAAGUGCUAAUUCAAAAAGAUAUAUGCACAUCAAUGUUCACUGUUGCAUUAUUUACAAUAGCCAUGUUAUGACAGCAAUCUAAGUGUCCAUCAAUAGAUGAAUGAACAAAUUAUAUAUAUAUAUGUUAUAUAUAUAUAAUUCAGCCAUAAAAAUGAAAUCUUACCAUUUGCUACAAAGUGGAUGGAUCUAGAAGGUAUUAUGAUAAGUGAAAUAAGUCAGAGGAAGACAAAUACCAUAUGAUCUCACUUAUAUGUGGACUCUAAAAAACAAAGAAACAAAACAAAAUGACAACAAAUAGAUACACAGAAAAAAUAUGUUCUUGUCAGAGGAGAGGAGUUUGGUGAGGGCAAAAUAGGCAAAGUGAAUUUAGAGGUGCAAACCUCCAGUUAUAAAAUAAAUAAGGCACAGGGAUAUAAUAUACAGCAUAAGGAAUAUGGUCAAUAAUAUUGUAAUAACUUUGUAUCAUGAGUAGAUGAUUGCUAGACUUGUCAUGGUGAUCAUUUUGUAAUGUAUGAAAAUGUCAAAUCACCAUGUAAUACACCUGAAACUAACAUAGUAUUUACAACAACUAUAUUUCCAUUUUAAAAAGAAGAGAGGCAAAGAAUUUUAACCCAAACCUGAUUUAAGCUCUCAGUGUUUCCAUACUUGGUGGGUACUUAAUUCUAUUGUUUAGUCUUUUUUGAAAGUCAAAACUAUCCCCCUUGCUGUAAUUCUGUAAUCUACAGCUCACCUCAAUUGAAAUAAACAGUCUGUAAAAUGAAAUAUUUACUUACCCUUUUAUUUCUCAGCACAAAGAUUUCUCAUAGGAAGAGUCCAUUCGAUUUUCUUAUUUAUCUAUAUCAAUACCGUAAGAGGGGUUCUUUAAUAUGCUAUUGUUUAAAUAUGACAAAAUGAUUUUUCUGUUUUUUUUUUUUUUCUGUAUAACAAAUACCCCAAACCCUAAUGGCUUAAAAUAACAAGUGUUUUAUUAUAUCUGUCUCACCAAUUUGUAGAUAGGAACUUAGGCAGUGCUCAGUUGAGCAAUCUGUCACCACAUGUUAUUAACUCACAGACACUCUGGUCUGGAAGAUCCAAGAUGACUUCAUUCACAUGUCUGCCACUGAGGUGGGGAUGGACGGAAGGCUGGCUCUCUUCGGGCUAUAGACCAGCGUACCUACACGUACUUUUUUCAGUACAGCCAUCUCAGGAUAAACUAGAAUUUGGUCAUGGCUGUUUCAGGCUUUCAAAAAGGGUGUUCCAAGAUAAAGGAAAUGGAAGCAAUUGGCCUUUUAAAGCGUGGGACCAGAAGCUGUAUUUCAUUGGCCAGAGAGUCACAAAGCCCUCUGAAUUUUAGGUGGAAUUGACAUGAGCCCACCUCUAAAUGGAAGGAGAGUCAAAGAAUGUGCAACCAUCUUUAACCUUCCACAGUGCUAAAUGUAGAAGUCUAUGGGAAUGUGCACAGAAUUAUACACAAUAAACGGCAGCAUAUACUUUCAGUUCCUUCCUCUUAAAGAAUAAACACUGAUUUGGUUGGCCUAGUGCCCUCUUCUUGCACUGUGAAAUUUUGCAGAUUUUUCUGCCCUAUGUGGUACCUAACAAGUUUCAUACCUAUUUGUUAUAGUAUGCUGCCUUUGUAUUGCUAUGUCUUUAGUUUUUGCAGAAAAUUUAAUUACCCUUUAUAUGUCUUCAACAUUCACUUUAUUUACCACCUUUAUUAUUCUCAUUCUGAAGAAAUUUUGUUACUCUCCAAUAUUAUCUGUGCAGUGCUGGCUUCCAGCUUCAAAUUCCUGGGAAUGGUGCUUUUAUUCCUUUUUAUUUGAGCUCUUUAAGCUUUGUGCUACAUACUUUGUUUUGUGUUUGUGUUUCAAGUUUUAUUUUGUAGAAUAGUUUCAGUUUUAUAACAAAACUGAGAUAGAGGUACAGAAAUUUCACAUAUACCUCCUGCCCCCACAAAUACAUAGUCUCUCACAUUGUCAACAUCACUCACCUGAAUGAUCCUUUUUUUUUUUUUAACCAAGAAUGAACCUACAUACCUACAUUGACACAUCAUAAUCACCCAAAGUCCAUAGUUCAUGUUAGGAUUUACUCUUGGUAUUGUACAUUUUAUAGGUUUGGACUAGUGUAUAAUAACAUAUAACCAUCAUUAUAAUAUCAUACAGAGUAUUUUGACUGCUUUAAAAAUUCUCUAUGCUCUGUCUGAUUAUCACUCCCCAUAACUAGAAACCACUGACUUUUUAAUGAUCUCCUUAGUUUUAUCUUCUCUGAAGUGUCACAUCUUAUUUUAUUUUGUUGACUCUCUGACAGCCGUGUCUGUGGAGAUUAGAGAUGUUGAAUGCUGUUUACUCUAGCAAAGGAGUUCUCAGUCUCAACAUUCUUAACAUUUUGGGCCAGAUAAGAUAUUUGUGGAGCACUGUCUUGUGCAUUGGAAGAUGUUUAGCUGAGUCCCUGGCCUCUACACGGUAGAUGUGAGAAGCACUUGCCUCUCCCAUUGUGUCAGUUGUGUUUAGACAUUGCCAGAUGUGCCCAGGGGCACAAUUACCCCUUGUUUAAAGCCAUUGUUUCAGCAGGGAUAGUAACUCCUUAAUUAAAAUUCAAGACAAAAAAGGUAAUUCUACCACUGGAGGGAAGUACAGAACUCAUGUAAUCCUCUGAGACAGGAAAGCAGAAGCUUCACUGUUUAACUUAUUAAGACCAGAGUCAUCUGUACUGUGUCACCACUCUGUACCCGAUCUGAUUUCUGGAGUCCAUUCUUGACCCAUAGCCCCAGAUAAGAUUACAUGUAAUCUCUUAUUCACAGCCACCCUAUUGAGUGGUCUCCUAAUGCCCUAGAACCUGAGUAAUGUCUCUUAGAUCAUGAUUGCUUCAUGUUUCUGUUCACUUCAAAGAUAGCUAUCCAGUAGAAACUUCCAUCAAAUCUCAUUCAUUGGAUAGAAGAUACAAAACAGAGUAUUAAACAUAAAUAAAUACAUAUAACUGGACUCCCAUGAAUCAAAUGAAUUUUCUCCUCUCCCUUUCCAACUUCCUUUGACCAAUCACAAAGGUUAUAAGAUAAACAUCUCCAUUUACUUCUCAACAAAUCACAGGCAAGGAGAUAAUUGAUUUGACAGAAUCUUACAAAAUUAAAAAAAAAAAAGUACUAACAGUAUCCAGUUCUGACCAAGCUGGAGUUAGCCCAUAAAGUGUAUUUCCCUUGAUUAAAAUGAAAAACCCUCUAUAAAUUAGAAAAAAAGAAACUACCUGAGGACACUGAAAGAAAUGAAGGAAGAUGAAUUAUACAUAGGAGGCAAAAGUUGGAGAUGGAAUCUGUUUUAGGUGAUUUUUUAAUCUCUUCUCACUUGAAUGUAAUGGAGGGCCCUAGUCAUGGAUAUGUAUGGAAGCAAAAACACUGAUAAAAACUCUAUCUUCCUGUCCAAGUGACCUGGGCAAAGGGACUUUUAUGGUCCAAAGAGCUGGAAGGAAAUCACGUUAAUUUUUUUUUUUUUCUCCUAAUGUUCCACAGAAGACAGGACCCAGUAGUAAAGGCAUGGAAAUGACAGCCUAGGAAACUAAAGUUUGAGUGAAACCUGGUCAAAAGAACUGGAGAAAGGGUUUCAACAGGCUGGGCAAUAUAUGGGAGCAUUCUAGUACAGAGAAAGUGGAAGAAGGAGGUCAACAAAUUCUGCACAGGAACCUAUUAUAGUCCCUAGACUCACUCAACUAUAUAUAUACAAGACAAACCAAAUCAGCAUGACAGGGGCUGUCAGAACUUAACUAAGAUUUAUCUCACCAUCCAAGCUUCAGGUUAAGCCACGAGUGGCCUAUAUGUGGGGAGAUCAAGACAAGAGAACAAAGAGUUUACAAAACAGAACCGAGAUUAGAACCUCUCUUCCCAUAAGGUAGGACAUGACUUGCAGUCUGAACUUAAAAUAAAACAAAAACUACACAAAAACGAAAACAGCAAAAUGACAUUUUGGGGAAGAUUUUAACAGGACUGAUGAUCUAUACAACAUUAUAUUUAAAAUUACUACAAUAGGGAGUUCCCAUUAUGGCUCAGCAUAAAUGAAUCUGACUGGUAUCCAUGAGGAUGCGGUUUCAAUCUCUGGCCUCGAUCAGUGGGUCAGGGAUUUGGCAUCACCAUGAGCUGUGGUGUAGGUUGCAGAUGCAGCUUGGAUCCCACGUUGCUGUGGCUGUGGCAUAGGCUGGCAGCUGUAGAUCUGACUGACCCCUAGCCUGGGAAUUUCAGUAUGCUGCGAAUGCAACACUAAAAAAAGCAAAGCAAAACAAAAUAAAAACAAAAAACAACCUUAAAAUAAAUCCAAAAUUAUUCGAAAUGUAAAAAUAACAGAGAUCGAUCUCCCAUUCUCCUUGAAUAUCUUGGUAUUCUUGGUAUUGGUAUUGGUCUGGAAUAGAUAAUAUAUGAAGCAAAUGUACAAGUCAAAUGGAGAAUUCUUAAGGUCUUUGAAUCAUUUUGGUGUGAACCUGAGUUUUGCUGUUUAGCAUUUAUGUACA